AGAAUCAACGCUGGCGGCGUGCCUAACACAUGCAAGUCGAACGAGAAAGUGGAGCAAUCCAUGAGUAAAGUGGCGCACGGGUGAGUAACACGUGACUAACCUACCCUUGAGUGGGGGAUAACCUAGAGAAAUCUGGGCUAAUACCGCAUAAUACCUUCGGGUCAAAGGAGCAAUUCGCUUAAGGAGGGGGUCGCGGCUGAUUAGCUAGUUGGCGGGGUAACGGCCCACCAAGGCGAAGAUCGGUAGCCGGCCUGAGAGGGCGCACGGCCACACUGGAACUGAAACACGGUCCAGACUCCUACGGGAGGCAGCAGUGGGAAUUUGCGCAAUGGGGGAAACCCUGACGCAGCAACGCCGCGUGGAGGAUGAAGCCCCUUGGGGCGUAAACUCCUUUCGACCAAGACGAUAAUGACGGUACUGGUGGAAGAAGCACCGGCUAACUCUGCGCCAGCAGCCC
This 457-nucleotide ribosomal RNA is filed under the name uncultured bacterium. Its description in RNAcentral is "SSU rRNA". It matches the Rfam family "Bacterial small subunit ribosomal RNA", at positions 26 to 517 of the family's 1533-position model. The record is from RNAcentral.